This 173-nucleotide unclassified non-coding RNA is filed under the name uncultured fungus. Its description in RNAcentral is "sequence contains ITS1". Lineage: Eukaryota; Fungi. The record is from RNAcentral.
CUGAGUUGCAAAACUCCCUAAACCCAUUGUUUACCUAUCUCAAAAACGUCUGCUUCGGUGGGCGGCCCCAGGGCGGGGCCGCUGUGGGCGCUUUCGGGCGUCGACGCCCACCGGAGGAGACGACCCCUAACUCGUACUAUUGUGGUAUAUCUGAGCCUAAAGACAAAUUGUCA